RNAcentral lists this ribosomal RNA (884 nucleotides) under Pyricularia sp. RNAcentral's name for it is "partial large subunit ribosomal RNA". It matches the Rfam family "Eukaryotic large subunit ribosomal RNA", at positions 48 to 962 of the family's 3401-position model. The record is from RNAcentral. Lineage: Eukaryota; Fungi; Ascomycota; Sordariomycetes; Magnaporthales; Pyriculariaceae.
AAGCGGAGGAAAAGAACCAACAGGGAUUGCCCCAGUAACGGCGAGUGAAGCGGCAACAGCUCAAAUUUGAAAUCUGGCCCCCCGGCCCGAGUUGUAAUUUGCAGAGGAUGCUUUUGGUGAGGCACCCACCGAGUCCCCUGGAAUGGGGCGCCAUAGAGGGUGAGAGCCCCGUAUGGUAGGACGCCGAACCUCUGUAAAGCUCCUUCGACGAGUCGAGUAGUUUGGGAAUGCUGCUCUAAAUGGGAGGUAAAUUUCUUCUAAAGCUAAAUACCGGCCAGAGACCGAUAGCGCACAAGUAGAGUGAUCGAAAGAUGAAAAGCACUUUGAAAAGAGGGUUAAAAAGUACGUGAAAUUGUUGAAAGGGAAGCGCUUGUGACCAGACUUGCGCCGGGCGGAUCAUCCAGCGUUCUCGCUGGUGCACUCCGCCCGGUUCAGGCCAGCAUCGGUUUUCGCCGGGGGACAAAGGCUUCGGGAACGUGGCUCCUCUCGGGGAGUGUUAUAGCCCGUUGCGUAAUACCCCGGCGGGGACCGACGACCGCGCUUCGGCAAGGAUGCUGGCGUAAUGGUCAUCAGCGACCCGUCUUGAAACACGGACCGAGGAGUCAAGCAUUAGUGCGAGUGUUUGGGUGUAAAACCCGCACGCGUAAUGAAAGUGAACGUAGGUGAGAGCUUCGGCGCAUCAUCGACCGAUCCUGAUGUUUUCGGAAGGAUUUGAGUAGGAGCAUUAACGCUUGGACCCGAAAGAUGGUGAACUAUACUUGAAUAGGGUGAAGCCAGAGGAAACUCUGGUGGAGGCUCGCAGCGGUUCUGACGUGCAAAUCGAUCGUCAAAUUUGAGUAUAGGGGCGAAAGACUAAUCGAACCAUCUAGUAGCUGGUUUCAGCC